GAUGAACGCUGGCGGCGUGCCUAAUACAUGCAAGUCGAGCGAACGGACGAGAAGCUUGCUCCUCUGAUGUUAGCGGCGGACGGGUGAGUAACACGUGGAUAACCUACCUAUAAGACUGGGAUAACUUCGGGAAACCGUAGCUAAUACCGGAUAAUAUUUUGAACCGCAUGGUUCAAAAGUGAAAGACGGUCUUGCUGUCACUUAUAGAUGGAUCCGCGCUGCAUUAGCUAGUUGGUAAGGUAACGGCUUACCAAGGCAACGAUGCAUAGCCGACCUGAGAGGGUGAUCAGCCACACUGGAACUGAGACACGGUCCAGACUCCUACGGGAGGCAGCAGUGGGGAAUCUUGCGCAAUGGGCGAAAGCCUGAUGCAGCAACGCCGCGUGAGUGAUGAAGGUCUUCGGGUCGUAAAGCUCUGUUAUUAGGGAAGAACAGAUGUGGAAGUAACUGUGCACGUCUUGACGGUACCUAAUGAGUAAGCCACGGCUAACUACGUG
This 497-nucleotide ribosomal RNA is filed under the name uncultured bacterium. Its description in RNAcentral is "partial 16S ribosomal RNA". It matches the Rfam family "Bacterial small subunit ribosomal RNA", at positions 28 to 507 of the family's 1533-position model. The record is from RNAcentral.